RNAcentral lists this ribosomal RNA (253 nucleotides) under uncultured bacterium. Its description in RNAcentral is "partial 16S ribosomal RNA". It matches the Rfam family "Bacterial small subunit ribosomal RNA", at positions 524 to 776 of the family's 1533-position model. The record is from RNAcentral.
UACGUAGGGUGCAAGCGUUGUCCGGAAUUAUUGGGCGUAAAGAGCUCGUAGGCGGUUUGUCGCGUCUGCUGUGAAAACUCGGGGCUUAACUCCGGGCCUGCAGUGGGUACGGGCAGACUAGAGUGCGGUAGGGGAGACUGGAAUUCCUGGUGUAGCGGUGAAAUGCGCAGAUAUCAGGAGGAACACCGGUGGCGAAGGCGGUUCUCUGGGCAUGUCCUGACGCUGAGGAGCGAAAGUGUGGGGAGCGAACAGG